This is a long non-coding RNA of Dufourea novaeangliae, 329 nucleotides long. RefSeq lists it as uncharacterized. Lineage: Eukaryota; Metazoa; Arthropoda; Insecta; Hymenoptera; Halictidae. The transcript is spliced from 3 exons. The record is from RefSeq and is a predicted model, not a curated record.
CAUAGUCGCAAGAACGUUAAGAAUUCAACAGUGGAAAUCAUGAAUACGAUAUUCAACUUUCUUCUUCUGUUUAUGUCUCUUAUUUUACUGUCAGGAUGUUUCUUUGCACCGGUGACAGCAACACCACCGGCUUGUCAUAGUUUACCUAGGAGUCAUCUUUGUAGUAGCAUGAAAUACCGCAUGAUGUGUAGGCUGAAAUGUUAGGGCUGAUGGUGAAUUCUAUGGCGUGGAAAAAUAAAAUGCUACCACUGAUGACGGCGACGACGGUUUCAGAAACAUAUUAUUGUUGACAAUGUAGCUGUAAUGGAAAAUAAAUGUUUUCGCGAUAU